GACGAACGCUGGCGGCGUGCCUAAUACAUGCAAGUAGGACGCAGUUGCGAACGGGUGAGUAACGCGUAGGUAACUACCUCUUAUAGGGGGAUAACUCUUGGAAACGAUAGCUAAUACCGCAUACUAGUAGAUGGCCCUGCUUUUUAUUAGCUAGUAGGUAGGGUAAUGGCCUACCUAGGCAACGAUACAUAGCCGACCUGGGAGGGGGGGUGGCCCAACCGGGAAUGGGGAACGGGCCAGGCCCCCACGGGGUGGAGCAGUAGGGAAACUUCGGCAAUGGGGGGAACCCGGACCGGGCAACGGCGCGUGAGUGAAGAAGGUUUUCGGAUCGUAAAGCUCUGUUGUUAAGGAAGCGGUACUUAACCAGAAAGGGACGGCUAACUACGUGCCAGCAGCCGCGGUAAUAC
This 407-nucleotide ribosomal RNA is filed under the name uncultured bacterium. Its description in RNAcentral is "partial 16S ribosomal RNA". It matches the Rfam family "Bacterial small subunit ribosomal RNA", at positions 28 to 526 of the family's 1533-position model. The record is from RNAcentral.